RNAcentral lists this ribosomal RNA (468 nucleotides) under uncultured bacterium. Its description in RNAcentral is "partial 16S ribosomal RNA". It matches the Rfam family "Bacterial small subunit ribosomal RNA", at positions 28 to 507 of the family's 1533-position model. The record is from RNAcentral.
GACGAACGCUGGCGGCGUGCUUAACACAUGCAAGUCGAACGGAAAGGCCCUGCUUUUGUGGGGUGCUCGAGUGGCGAAAGGGUGAGUAACACGUGAGUAACCUGCCCUUGACUUUGGGAUAACUUCAGGAAACUGGGGCUAAUACCGGAUAGGAGAUCCUGCUGCAUGGUGGGGGUUGGAAAGUUUCGGCGGUUGGGGAUGGAAUCGUGGCUUAUCAGCUUGUUGGUGGGGUGGUGGCUUACCAGGGCUUUGAGGGGUAGCCGGCCUGGGAGGGUGACCGGCCACAUUGGGACUGAGAUACGGCCCAGACUCCUACGGGAGGCAGCAGUGGGGAAUAGUGCACAAUGGGCGGAAGCCUGAUGCAGCAACGCCGCGUGCGGGAUGACGGCCUUCGGGUUGUAAACCGCUUUCGCCUGUGACGAAGCGUGAGUGACGGUAAUGGGUAAAGAAGCACCGGCUAACUACGUG